AGAGCAAACCGCUCUAUCGCUCUUUUAGUAAUAGAAGGGAGGAAAGUCCGGGCAACACAGAGCGCCGUACCUUAGAGAAACUGAGGGCAUACUUCAGGAAUGGAGUAUGACAGAAAGUGCAGCAGAAAGUAAACCGUCAUGUCCUAGAUAUGAUAAGGGUGAAACGGUGAGGUAAGAGCUCACCAGUAAUGUCAGUAAUGCAUUAGCUGGGUAAACCUUGCGGGUUGAAAAGUCAAAUAUACCGAGGCUUGAGGGCUGCUCGCCUGAUCUCGGAGGGUAGACCGAUUAGAUAAAUGAUAGAGAAUUGUUUCGGCAAUUACAGAACCCGGCUUAUAGGUUUGUAUUAUUA
This 349-nucleotide RNase P RNA is filed under the name Vicingaceae bacterium. RNAcentral's name for it is "RNase P RNA component class A". It matches the Rfam family "Bacterial RNase P class A". From Rfam's summary of the family: Ribonuclease P (RNase P) is a ubiquitous endoribonuclease, found in archaea, bacteria and eukarya as well as chloroplasts and mitochondria. Lineage: Bacteria; Pseudomonadati; Bacteroidota; Flavobacteriia; Flavobacteriales; Vicingaceae. The record is from RNAcentral.